RNA transcript from Mercurialis annua (annual mercury), 2554 nucleotides. It is a transcript of the gene named derlin-2.2, with no coding region annotated. The record is from RefSeq and is a predicted model, not a curated record. NCBI's taxonomy places the organism in Eukaryota, Viridiplantae, Streptophyta, Magnoliopsida, Malpighiales, Euphorbiaceae. The transcript is spliced from 14 exons.
CCUGUUAAAACAAACAAAACUAUAUACAAAUCCCAAACCAAAAACUCGAUCUUCCAUCGAUUUUCAAUUCAAAAUUCCCUUCUAAAAUUCAAUCAACAAAAAUCUUUAAUUCUUUUAUAAUUAUCAGGUCUUCAAGAUUUUGCUCGAAUUGCUCCGUUAAAAAAUGGCUCAAGCUGUAGAGGAAUGGUACAAGCAGAUGCCAAUUAUCACCCGUUCUUAUCUCACGGCGGCUAUUGUCACCACAAUUGGAUGUUCCCUUGAAAUAAUAUCUCCUCAUAAUCUUUAUUUGCAUCCUACAUUGGUUGUUAAGAAUUAUCAGUUCUGGCGUCUCGUCACAAAUUUCCUCUACUUCAGGAAAAUGGACCUGGACUUUUUGUUCCAUAUGUUCUUUCUUGCUCGAUACUGCAAACUUCUAGAAGAGAAUUCAUUCAGGGGGAGGACAGCUGAUUUCUUUUACAUGCUCAUAUUUGGUGCCACUGUUUUGACUGGCAUUGUUCUUGUUGGUGUUACGAUACCUUAUUUGUCAGAGUCGUUUGCGAAAAUCAUAUUUCUUAGUAACUCAUUGACGUUCAUGAUGGUUUAUGUCUGGAGCAAGCAAAAUCCUUUUAUCCACAUGAGCUUCCUGGGUCUCUUUACCUUUACAGCAGCUUACCUGCCAUGGGUUCUGCUAGGAUUCUCUGUGCUUGUUGGUGCUAGCGCUUGGGUGGAUCUUCUGGGAAUGAUAGCUGGUCAUGCUUACUAUUUUCUGGAGGCUAUAUAUCCACGAAUGACUGGUCGCAGGCCCUCACGAACCCCAUCAUUUAUAAUAUCGCUAUUUUCUGAUGAUGCUGUCGUAGUAGCACGGCCAGCAAAUGUAAGGUUCGCUUUGCUACCUAUUGAGGAAUUGCAUGAAGAUUGAGAGGAUCGUAGCGACAUAGGCCAAUAAACGAUAGCUUUUUGAUGGAUUCAUGUGCUUACUGCAAGUGAGAUCAGCACUUUGAUGUUCUCUUGGGACAUGUGGCUUCAUUUGAGAGGUCAUGUUGCUUUCGAGGAUUCCAUUAGAUGGCGCAGCAAUUUAAAAAGGUUGGAAGAUUGUUUUGCAGAGCAGUGGAAUAUGAUUCUGAUGGUAUGAUUAAAGCUCAAAUUGUUAGGUUUAGAUCAUCUCCUGUUGUUCAGGUACAAAUAUUUUUUCUACUAAUAAGGAGUAAAAUAAAUAUUCCCACUAACUGACAUUGUUUUAUUGUUCAAUGUUUAGUAAUUGACCAAGUAUAUAUCUAAAAGGUACUUUAAUUACUAGAAGAAUCCUCUCAUGGUCUAUCAUCUGUUUAAGUUUCCGCGUUUGCUCUACUGUAAAACAUGCAUGAUUAGUAGCUUAUAUUUUCACCCACAACAUACAACGUUCAUGGCGAGUGACUAAAGCUUUUGAACAUGACCUGGAAGACGUCAAUGAAGAAAUUAUUUCAGCAGAGGGCGGCUCCAUUUCGAGGAGUAAAACAGUCUGGUUUUCGAAAGAAGGCUCCAAGUAUGCGAUGGAUGACAAUUUGGAGUCUUACAGGUUUAUGGACAUUCGAGCAUCCUCCAAGCUGCAAAGAGCAUUAUGCAAUCUCAAGGAUCGAAGAUGAGUCGAGAUGAGUUUGACUGAAUUUAUCUCUCUUUCCUUACUAUGUUAAGGAUUAUGAUUUUGGUGUUGUUUGGUUAUCUUUUUUUAUAGGUUAUGUGGCUUUCGAGGAUUCCAUUAGAUGGUGGAGCAAUAUGAAAAUGUGAUUCUAUAAAUUAUUGUUUUUUCCGCUCUUGUUUAAAGAUCUAAUUCCUUUGUAAAGGUGGGAAAAUUGUUUGCAGAGCUGUGAAAUAUGAUUCUGAUGGUAUUAUUUAGACUCUAGUUGUUUGAUCUCCUUUUGUUCAGGUACAUGUGUUUUUUUUUUACUCAUAGGGAGUUCAAUAUUUAGUGAUUGACCAAGUAUAUAUCUACAAGUAAUUUAAUAACUAAAAGAAACCUCUCAUGGUAUAUUAUCUGUUUGAGCAUAAAUGAUUUCCUUGUUUGCUCUAUCGUUAAAUAUUCAGGAUUAGCAUCAUUAAUUUUCAGCAACAACGUACAUACAACGUUCAUGGCAAGUGGCUACAUGGACCUGUAGAAGGGAUUACUUCAAUAGAGCCUGGUCUGGGAAGCGAAGGCUCCAAGUAUGCGAUGGAUGACAAUUGAAAGGAUUCCAUUAGAUGGCGGAGCAAAGGUGAUUCUAUAAGUCCUUGUACUUUCAGCUCUUUUUUAAACAUCUAAUUUGUUUUGUCAUGCUUUCUAACGGUGGGUAGAUUGUGUAGUGGAGGGGUGGAAUAUGAUUCUGAUGGUAUUACUAAACCUCUAGUUGUUUGAUGUCCUUUUUGUUCAGGAUAGCAACAUUAAUUUUCAGCAACAACAUACAACGUUCAUGGCGAGUGGCUACAUGGCCUUGUAGAAGGAAUUACGUUAAUAGAGGUGCUCAGUUUAGAGGAGUUAAACAAUUUGGUCUAGCUAGGGAAUACUCCAAGUAUUCGAUGGAUGAUAAUUUGGGGAUAAGCUAUUAUUCAAACAUUCUCGGAA